AGGCUUAACACAUGCAAGUCGAGGGGCAGCAUGGUCUUAGCUUGCUAAGGCCGAUGGCGACCGGCGCACGGGUGAGUAACACGUAUCCAACCUGCCGUCUACUCUUGGACAGCCUUCUGAAAGGAAGAUUAAUACAAGAUGGCAUCAUGAGUCCGCAUGUUCACAUGAUUAAAGGUAUUCCGGUAGACGAUGGGGAUGCGUUCCAUUAGAUAGUAGGCGGGGUAACGGCCCACCUAGUCUUCGAUGGAUAGGGGUUCUGAGAGGAAGGUCCCCCACAUUGGAACUGAGACACGGUCCAAACUCCUACGGGAGGCAGCAGUGAGGAAUAUUGGUCAAUGGGCGAGAGCCUGAACCAGCCAAGUAGCGUGAAGGAUGACUGCCCUAUGGGUUGUAAACUUCUUUUAUAAAGGAAUAAAGUCGGGUAUGGAUACCCGUUUGCAUGUACUUUAUGAAUAAGGAUCGGCUAACUCCGUGCCAGCAGCCGCGGUAAUACGGAGGAUCCGAGCGUUAUCCGGAUUUAUUGGGUUUAAAGGGAGCGUAGAUGGAUGUUUAAGUCAGUUGUGAAAGUUUGCGGCUCAACCGUAAAAUUGCAGUUGAUACUGGAUAUCUUGAGUGCAGUUGAGGCAGGCGGAAUUCGUGGUGUAGCGGUGAAAUGCUUAGAUAUCACGAAGAACUCCGAUUGCGAAGGCAGCCUGCUAAGCUGCAACUGACAUUGAGGCUCGAAAGUGUGGGUAUCAAACAGGAUUAGAUACCCUGGUAGUCCACACGGUAAACGAUGAAUACUCGCUGUUUGCGAUAUACUGCAAGCGGCCAAGCGAAAGCGUUAAGUAUUCCACCUGGGGAGUACGCCGGCAACGGUGAAACUCAAAGGAAUUGACGGGGGCCCGCACAAGCGGAGGAACAUGUGGUUUAAUUCGAUGAUACGCGAGGAACCUUACCCGGGCUUAAAUUGCAGAUGAAUUACGGUGAAAGCCGUAAGCCGCAAGGCAUCUGUGGAGGUGCUGCAUGGUUGUCGUCAGCUCGUGCCGUGAGGUGUCGGCUUAAGUGCCAUAACGAGCGCAACCCUUGUUGUCAGUUACUAACAGGUUCCGCUGAGGACUCUGACAAGACUGCCAUCGUAAGAUGUGAGGAAGGUGGGGAUGACGUCAAAUCAGCACGGCCCUUACGUCCGGGGCUACACACGUGUUACAAUGGGGGGUACAGAGGGCCGCUACCACGCGAGUGGAUGCCAAUCCCCAAAACCUCUCUCAGUUCGGACUGGAGUCUGCAACCCGACUCCACGAAGCUGGAUUCGCUAGUAAUCGCGCAUCAGCCACGGCGCGGUGAAUACGUUCCCGGGCCUUGUACACACCGCCCGUCAAGCCAUGGGAGCCGGGGGUACCUGAAGUGCGUAACCGCGAGGAGCGCCCUAGGGUAAAACUGGUGACUGGGGCUAAGUCAU
This 1441-nucleotide ribosomal RNA is filed under the name uncultured organism. RNAcentral describes it as "SSU rRNA". It matches the Rfam family "Bacterial small subunit ribosomal RNA". The record is from RNAcentral.